Molecule: ribosomal RNA, 435 nt
Filed under: uncultured bacterium
Lineage: Bacteria
Description: bacterial SSU rRNA
Rfam family: Bacterial small subunit ribosomal RNA
Source: RNAcentral
UGAGGAAUAUUGGUCAAUGGUCGCUAGACUGAACCAGCCAAGUAGCGUGCGGGAUGAAGGCCCUCCGGGUCGUAAACCGCUUUUAGACGGGGAUAAAAGGGCGUACGUGUACGCCGUAUUGCAUGUACCGUCAGAAAAAGGACCGGCUAAUUCCGUGCCAGCAGCCGCGGUAAUACGGAAGGUCCGGGCGUUAUCCGGAUUCAUUGGGUUUAAAGGGAGCGUAGGCGGACUUUCAAGUCAGUGGUAAAAUCGUGUGGCUCAACCAUACCUCACCAUUGAAACUGGAAGUCUGGAGUGCACACAGGGGUGCCGGAAUUCAUGGUGUAGCGGUGAAAUGCUUAGAUAUCAUGAAGAACUCCGAUCGCGAAGGCAAGUGCCCGGGGUGCAACUGACGCUGAGGCUCGAAGGUGCGGGUAUCGAACAGGAUUAGAUACC